GCCUGAUCCAGCCAUGCCGCGUGCAGGAUGACGGUCCUAUGGAUUGUAAACUGCUUUUGUACGAGAAGAAACACUCCUACGUGUAGGAGCUUGACGGUAUCGUAAGAAUAAGGAUCGGCUAACUCCGUGCCAGCAGCCGCGGUAAUACGGAGGAUCCAAGCGUUAUCCGGAAUCAUUGGGUUUAAAGGGUCCGUAGGCGGUUUAGUAAGUCAGUGGUGAAAGCCCAUCGCUCAACGGUGGAACGGCCAUUGAUACUGCUGAACUUGAAUUAUUAGGAAGUAACUAGAAUAUGUAGUGUAGCGGUGAAAUGCUUAGAGAUUACAUGGAAUACCAAUUGCGAAGGCAGGUUACUACUAAUGGAUUGACGCUGAUGGACGAAAGCGUGGGUAGCGAACAGGAUUAGAUACCCUGGUAGUCCACGCCGUAAACGAUGGAUACUAGCUGUUGGAAGCAAUUUCAGUGGCUAAGCGAAAGUGAUAAGUAUCCCACCUGGGGAGUACGUUCGCAAGAAUGAAACUCAGAGGAAUUGACGGGGGCCCGCACAAGCGGUGGAGCAUGUGGUUUAAUUCGAUGAUACGCGAGGAACCUUACCAAGGCUUAAAUGUAGAUUGACCGGUUUGGAAACAGAUCUUUCG
This 635-nucleotide ribosomal RNA is filed under the name Flavobacterium sp. So2Pw_1015. Its description in RNAcentral is "bacterial SSU rRNA". It matches the Rfam family "Bacterial small subunit ribosomal RNA", at positions 381 to 1017 of the family's 1533-position model. The record is from RNAcentral. Lineage: Bacteria; Pseudomonadati; Bacteroidota; Flavobacteriia; Flavobacteriales; Flavobacteriaceae.